UUUGAUUUCUUAAAAUUUUUAAACUUCCUCUUAUUUUGUAUAGUCUUAGGUUUAAUUUUUAUUUUUUAUUCUGCUAAAUGUUUCGUUUAUGUAGUAAUUAAAUUUAAUAAAUCGAGUUAUUUUGGAAUUAGUAAUUGAUUGAGUUUUGACUAAUUUUGUGCCAGCAGUCGCGGUUAUACAAUUAAUGCAAUUGAAUAUUUUUAACUUUGUAGAUUAUUGUUUAUAGGGAUUAUAUAUAUGAUUUUAGAGGGUGAAAUUUAUAUUUUGUUUUAUAUUCUUAUUUUUGAUUCUAUGAAAAUUUGAAUUUAAACUAGGAUUAGAUACCCUAUUAUUUAAAUUGUAAAUAUUUGUUAGGGUAGUGAUAGCUAAGAUCUUGAAACCCAAAGAAUUUGGCGGCAUUUCAUUCCAUUCAGAGGAACCUACCCCCCAUGAUUGAUAGUACACGAUUUGUAAUACUUGUUUUUAUAUAUUUGUAUAUCUCCGUUAUCAGAAAAUCUUUUGAGAGUUGUUAAAAUUUUCAUAAUCCAUAAUUUUGGUUUAUUUCAGGUCAAGGUGCAAUUAUAAAUAAGAGGUGUUGGGUUACAAUAAAUUAAAUUUACGUUUUUAUUUAUGGAAAUUUUUAACUAAGUUGGAUUUGAUAGUAAUUUGUUUUACUUUUUUUGUUUGAUUAUGGCUCUGAGGUGUGUACACAUCGCCCGUCACUCUCAUUAUUUUAUUUGGUUUAAUUAAUAUAUACAUAGAUGAGAUAAGUCGUAACAUAGUAGAUGUACUGGAAAGUGUAUCUAGUAAGAUU
This 793-nucleotide non-coding RNA is filed under the name Tagasta indica. Lineage: Eukaryota; Metazoa; Arthropoda; Insecta; Orthoptera; Pyrgomorphidae. The record is from RNAcentral.